This 716-nucleotide ribosomal RNA is filed under the name Termes aff. fatalis 2 VR-2017. RNAcentral's name for it is "partial 16S ribosomal RNA". The stretch from base 337 to 497 matches the Rfam family "Archaeal large subunit ribosomal RNA", at positions 1886 to 2093 of the family's 2987-position model. The record is from RNAcentral. Lineage: Eukaryota; Metazoa; Arthropoda; Insecta; Blattodea; Termitidae.
UUUUUCAMAAAUGAAUUUAAUUCAUGCAUUUGAUUUAAUUUCUGUUGUUUUAUUAUCUAUUUUUAUUUGAUGCUAAGAUUAAGGGGGAUUAGCUCCUUGUUUUAUUUUUAUAAUUAUUAUUUUAAUUUAGUUUUGUGGAUUUUAUGGUGAUUUUCAAUUUGAUUAUGUUAAAAUUUUAUUUUUUCUUUUGUUUAUUUGUUGUUAAUUUAAAUUUUUUAUUGGAAUGUUUUCUUUAUUUUGUUUUGUAUGGUAAUUAUUGUGUAAUUAGUAAAUUGUGCUUUAUUGUAGUGUUCAUUUAUUUGUGUUAAUUUCUUUUUAGGAAUUAGGCAAAAGUUUCAUGUCCGCCUGUUUAACAAAAACAUCUUUUCUUGUUAGUUUUUGAAGUAUGGCCUGCCCACUGACUUAGGUUGAAGGGCCGCGGUAUUUUGACCGUGCAAAGGUAGCAUAAUCAUUAGUUCUUUAAUUGUGAUCUGGUAUGAAUGGCUUGACGAGACAUGGGCUGUCUUAAUGGUAUUGUUUGUUGAAUUUGGUUUUUGAGUUAAAAUUCUUAGAUGUUUUUAUGGGACGAGAAGACCCUAUAGAGUUUGACAUUUUUCUUAUUAGUGUGAGGAUGUUUGUUGUGAWUGAUUUAAUAGGUUUAUUGUUUUGUUGGGGUGAUGGGAGGAAUUUUUUUAACUCCUCUUUUGUUUGUUAUAUUUAUAUAUAUAUUUUGAUCC